This 3704-nucleotide unclassified non-coding RNA is filed under the name Hevea brasiliensis (rubber tree). The record is from RNAcentral. Lineage: Eukaryota; Viridiplantae; Streptophyta; Magnoliopsida; Malpighiales; Euphorbiaceae.
AUGCUCUCAAUUUCAAUACAAUAAUAUAUUUAAAUCAUUUUAUACAUAUAAAUUUAAAUAAAAUAUAUUUAAUCAUAAAUAGUUAUUUUGAACUAAUGAUAGUACUGCCACCUUAUACCUGACAGGCUCCAUGGACUAACAGAAAAUGCCUCUGCCUCUCCUCUCUGUCCUAUCGCCCCAAGUUUGUCUUCCGUUGCGUUUGGUCGAGUCCUACCACUGCACCAUGCAAUGGAAAAAAUCUAAUUUAACCCUCAUAAUUUUGGCUCCCUUCUCUUAUAAGGAUGAAGUUAUUCAUAUCUGUCCAAAACGUACAGAACACCUUUUCAAAUGCAAGAAGGCCUGGUUGAUCAGACCAACAAUUAUAAAAUCAUCGUCCCAUAUGGCAUCACCUUCACAAGAUAAGGUAAUCUUUGCUUAGAAAAGACAGUAGCUGGCCACAUAUAGGAAGAGGGAUGACUUUGAUCCCUUCCUUUAGCGAGUGAUCAAAAUUAUACUCUGCUUUCUUAUAUUUCUGAAAGUUAUAAAUACAAGAAAUAUAUAUACUCCAAAAGACUUCACAAAUAAAGGAAAAAUACAACAAAUUAGGAAUAUACAGGAAUUACAACUAAUUAGGAAUAUGCAGCUAAUGAAUUCCUAGGUUAACGAUUCCUCAAAUAAGGAAUAAAAUUAAAUAGGAAAGAUUUUAAAGACUCUAACGGUGAGCAUACAUUUAGUUGUCUGAUCCAAAUUUUCCGUGCAUAUACUCCACAUCAUUAUUAAAAGACAAAUAAAGAAUAUUCCAAGUGCCAAAAUAAGGUUGAUGGAAUCUUCAAAUGGAUGGUUACGCUGCAUAAGCAGAAGCCCAAUUUCAAAUAACUCAAAUAAAUUCCAUCCUUUAUAAUGAGGAAAAAGAACAUCUGAAAUAAAAUAGAAAGGGCAUAAAUUACCUCAUGUUAACCACAAUGUCAUCAGGCAACUAGUCUUUACUCAAGCAUCAAUCAAUUUGUCAAAUGGUUAAGAAUACUUCAACAGUACAUCACAACAAUUUGGAUUGAAGAACUUGGGAGAUGAUCAAGUGCUUUAAGCAAUAUGAUUCUGAUUUACCAUAUAAUCUUAAAGCAACAGAUGCAAAUUCUAAUGCAGCGCAAGUUCCUAAAUAGUUCCUCGAGUUCAGGAAAAGCCACGACUCUUUUGAUCAAAGCAUAAUUCCUGAAAUUUUGUUAAACGUUUCAAGAGAACUUCAGGAUUAUAUGGAAACAAAUUCUUCCGAUGAAGAUUUUCUAGAGAAUCUUUUAAAGAAAGCAAACAAUUUUUGGCUUUCUUGAACGGUUGGCUUGUGUUUUUGCAGUGCUUGUGGCUACAUUCAAUAUCUUUCUUGCAUUUGUCUUCAAGUGAUGAAGAAAUAUCUUUUACAGUUAUAGAUGAUGCCUCCACCUGAAGAUUAAAGCCAUCCGAAUAUAUUUUUCUUUUCUUGCAUGAUGAUUGAUCCACAAUUUUCUUAUGCACAGAAAAUGUUAUGAAUAAGUUCCAUGAAUUGCAUACUGUACGCAAACACCUUAAAAGAUAUUCUGCACAAGUGAUUCCUGUAUCUUUAGAAAUAAGGUAAUCAAGAAGCACUUGAUGAUCAUAAUGCAACUCUGCAAGGAAUAGAUGGAACAGGUUUACAGGAUUAAAAAUGCUUGCAACAUAAAAAAGAGUAUCUUGUUUGACAUCUCCAUUUGUCCAUUUUUCUUUAUUUGAUUGCUGCUCUAAAAAGGGCUGUAUGCUAAGCAGUUCCAAAAGCACCUUAAAUAAUAUAUCAUCCUCAUGCAUAUAUAGCUGGAGGAAAGAUAAGGCAAAACCUCUACACUUUUCCAAAUACAUUUCAUGAUCCAGAAACGUAUCAGUUGGAAGAUGCCCUCGAAGCCAUUUGUAGAGCUCUAGGAAGCCUUGCCUUCUACCAUAACUGUCCAGGUCUGAUAUUGAGUCAAAUGUCAAAGAAGAGUUCAGAGUCGCACAUCCACAUUGCUUGCUAGUUUCCCUUGUCGAGCUGAUCAGACUGAAGCAACACUUUACGAAAAGGAGAACAGCCCACCUUUGUAAGUGAUGAGAAUUGAUUCCAUGUACUCUAUCAGAAAGACUCAAUAAAAAUGGAGAACCUUCAAGGCAUUCUUCCUGACCAAAAUCAAGUUUGAUUAUGGGUUUCCACAAGAGCUCUUCAAAGUAAACGUGAAGAAGUUGCAACCAUGAAAUGAGAGUAGAGCAGCUUAAACAAGUCUGGUAACUAAGCCUCAGCAUUAGCAUCAACAAUUUAUGCCUGAAGUACUGAGAGACAGACAUUUUCAGAAAAUUCUCAUGCUCGCCGAGGCACCAAGAUAAAAGUUUGGGCACAAAACUGAUGAUUAUGCAAAGAACUGGAUGAUGAUCAUAGGAAUCAAUCUUGGGUUCCACAGCACAGCUUUGCUCAACCAAUGAACAAAGGAACUGGAUAAAAUUCCCAAGAAAUACAACUCUUGCCUCCUUCUCACCACUCUUUCUAACAAAUAAAGCAUCAAUAAAAUGACUAUUUUGAGAAUCAUUUUCCUUAGCAUCGCUACUCUGACCAAUUUGAAUCUCAUCCAUGAAAUCUGAAGGCACAUCUGAAAGAAAAGAACUGGCAGAAUCCAAGUACAUUUCGCAAAGGUGAUCAUCAUCCUCUUGCUUCAAAUAUUUUAAUGUUUUGCGUAAAACUCGAAUAAUUGUAGCUGCUGUAGACCAGUUAGCAUUUUCCAGUCGAGAUUUUAAGAGAAAAAAACUAGAUGAGUCAUAACUGGAGUCCCCAGCUCCAUUUUUCGAAGGUGCCAGAAAGUGUGACAACAUAUUGGCAAUUGCCAAUUCCAGACAAAUAAACAAGGAAUGAAUGAAAGAAUCCCCCUCCUUUCCAGAUGCAGCCACGAACUCAGAAAUGACUACAAGAAUGUUGCCCACCAAGUGUUGUACAAAUCGACUCUCAACCGUUAGAAGAAUUAUCAAGUCUGCUAGUAUCUUGAUCAAACAGUUAUGGUCCUCACGAUGCAUCCCUGAUCCACCAAAGUCUUUGUCACAAACAAGAUCCGGAGCCACUUCUUUAUCAGAAUCGCAAUCAAGUGCCAGCUUCAUAAGCUGAAUUUCUCUCAAGACCCGAGAGAGAGCAAUUAGAAGAUCCUUCUCCUUGUCUCUGGUUAAAGAAAUCACUUCCGAUUCAGUGAACGGACGAACGGAAUCAUCGAUCAGAUGGCAUAGAAGAGAGAAUUUCGAAUCACUAGACAUUUUUCGGCUUUUGAUUACUCCCGCGAAAUUUUUUGCCCCUUCAUCUCGGUGACGCAAGUGCUGCGUAGUGGCAGCUUGACAACGCAGCGUUUUGAAUUUCAGGUGCGGCGAACUGGUUAAAAACGGUGAGUAUUAGAGGCUUUGAAAACGGUUCAAUUUGGCAGGUGAAGUCUGCAAAAACUCAGCACAGGACUUUUUAAGUGCCAACCUUAAAAAGAAAUGCAACAGCUGUUUGCUAGAAUGCCUCAAAGAAAUCUGGUGGAAACGUCCCAAUAGGUAAAUUCGUUUUUAUUUUAAGAGAACUACUUGUGAGAUUAUAUGAACAAGAAUAAGAAUGGCAUUUAUCAGGCCUAGUCGCAUGGUAAGUUUGUUAAGUAAAGCAAGAUUACCAGAUAAAGCAGAGAGCUUAUAACUGAAUCAACCUAUAGCGAUGUGCAUUUGAAACUAUGGAGAACUUU